AAGAAUAAAAAGCAAGUUAACUGCACUAAGAACUGAUGGAAUUAAAAAGUAAAUUUGUUUUGUAGAUUCUUCCAAGUGAACAUAAAAAGCAAGAAUAUCUAGAUGAUGUCAAGGAGUGGUAAAAGCACCUUCCGGAAAUCAAGCGGAUUGUCAGCAAGGGCUGAAAGUCUGGGGGCUUCAAUGAAGUGUUCUAGUUGCCAGGGAGCUGACUACAAGAUGCAAAUACUAAUGACUCUGCAGUGGAUACGUUAGACUCUGUGGAUGGAGAGAAAGACCUGGAUGCCAAAGACAACAGGGGUGAGCAUUGGAGUUGACACAGAGCUUGCUGCGGCUCAAGUACUGCCUCGUUUGUUUCUGCAGAGGGAGCAGCAAGUAGCUGUGCAUGUAGAUCAAGAGCUUCGCGUCUCCACGCAGUUUUCGGUUGGUGGUGGCUGCGGGAGCAAUCUUUUGUCGCCGCAGAGCGUGGCCGCGUGGUGGGAGGGAUGAAGGAGUACACGGAAAGCAGCCGUGUUUGUUUAGUAAGUACCUGAUGAGUUGUCGAUAACCAUUGAAGCACAUCUGACAUUUGUAGUAAGGGCAGAUGACU
Molecule: long non-coding RNA, 586 nt
Organism: Lolium rigidum
Lineage: Eukaryota; Viridiplantae; Streptophyta; Magnoliopsida; Poales; Poaceae
Exons: 5
Source: RefSeq, a predicted model, not a curated record